ACUCCUGCGGGAGGCAGCAGUGGGGAAUUUUGGACAAUGGGCGAAAGCCUGAUCCAGCAAUGCCGCGUGCAGGAUGAAGGCCUUCGGGUUGUAAACUGCUUUUGUACGGAACGAAAAAGCUCCUUCUAAUACAGGGGGCCCAUGACGGUACCGUAAGAAUAAGCACCGGCUAACUACGUGCCAGCAGCCGCGGUAAUACGUAGGGUGCGAGCGUUAAUCGGAAUUACUGGGCGUAAAGCGUGCGCAGGCGGUUAUGUAAGACAGAUGUGAAAUCCCCGGGCUCAACCUGGGAACUGCAUUUGUGACUGCAUGGCUAGAGUACGGUAGAGGGGGAUGGAAUUCCGCGUGUAGCAGUGAAAUGCGUAGAUAUGCGGAGGAACACCGAUGGCGAAGGCAAUCCCCUGGACCUGUACUGACGCUCAUGCACGAAAGCGUGGGGAGCAAACAGGAUUAGAAACCCCAGUAGUCCCAUG
Molecule: ribosomal RNA, 473 nt
Filed under: uncultured organism
Description: partial 16S ribosomal RNA
Rfam family: Bacterial small subunit ribosomal RNA
Source: RNAcentral